This 1346-nucleotide ribosomal RNA is filed under the name uncultured bacterium. Its description in RNAcentral is "partial 16S ribosomal RNA". It matches the Rfam family "Bacterial small subunit ribosomal RNA", at positions 28 to 1381 of the family's 1533-position model. The record is from RNAcentral.
GACGAACGCUGGCGGCGUGCUUAACACAUGCAAGUCGAACGGAAAGGCCCUGCUUUUGUGGGGUGCUCGAGUGGCGAACGGGUGAGUAACACGUGAGUAACCUGCCCUUGACUUUGGGAUAACUUCAGGAAACUGGGGCUAAUACCGGAUAGGAGCUCCUGCUGCAUGGUGGGGGUUGGAAAGUUUCGGCGGUUGGGGAUGGACUCGCGGCUUAUCAGCUUGUUGGUGGGGUAGUGGCUUACCAAGGCUUUGACGGGUAGCCGGCCUGAGAGGGUGACCGGCCACAUUGGGACUGAGAUACGGCCCAGACUCCUACGGGAGGCAGCAGUGGGGAAUAUUGCACAAUGGGCGGAAGCCUGAUGCAGCAACGCCGCGUGCGGGAUGACGGCCUUCGGGUUGUAAACCGCUUUCGCCUGUGACGAAGCGUGAGUGACGGUAAUGGGUAAAGAAGCACCGGCUAACUACGUGUCAGCAGCCGCGGUGAUACGUAGGGUGCGAGCGUUGUCCGGAUUUAUUGGGCGUAAAGGGCUCGUAGGUGGUUGAUCGCGUCGGAAGUGUAAUCUUGGGGCUUAACCCUGAGCGUGCUUUCGAUACGGGUUGACUUGAGGAAGGUAGGGGAGAAUGGAAUUCCUGGUGGAGCGGUGGAAUGCGCAGAUAUCAGGAGGAACACCAGUGGCGAAGGCGGUUCUCUGGGCCUUUCCUGACGCUGAGGAGCGAAAGCGUGGGGAGCGAACAGGCUUAGAUACCCUGGUAGUCCACGCUGUAAACGGUGGGUACUAGGUGUGGGGUCCAUUCCACGGGUUCCGUGCCGUAGCUAACGCUUUAAGUACCCCGCCUGGGGAGUACGGCCGCAAGGCUAAAACCCAAAGGAAUUGACGGGGCCCCGCACAAGCGGCGGAGCAUGCGGAUUAAUUCGAUGCAACGCGUAGAACCUUACCUGGGUUUGACAUGGAUCGGGAGUGCUCAGAGAUGGGUGUGCCUCUUUUGGGGUCGGUUCACAGGUGGUGCAUGGCUGUCGUCAGCUCGUGUCGUGAGAUGUUGGGUUAAGUCCCGCAACGAGCGCAACCCUUGUUCACUGUUGCCAGCACGUUAUGGUGGGGACUCAGUGGAGACCGCCGGGGUCAACUCGGAGGAAGGUGGGGAUGACGUCAAGUCAUCAUGCCCCUUAUGUCCAGGGCUUCACGCAUGCUACAAUGGCUGGUACAGAGAGUGGCGAGCCUGUGAGGGUGAGCGAAUCUCGGAAAGCCGGUCUCAGUUCGGAUUGGGGUCUGCAGCUCGACCUCAUGAAGUCGGAGUCGCUAGUAAUCGCAGAUCAGCAACGCUGCGGUGAAUACGUUCCCGGGGCU